AAAUAGAUACCCGGGUAGUCCACGCCGUAAACGAUGGAUACUAGCUGUUUGAGCGCAAGUUUGAGUGGCUAAGCGAAAGUGAUAAGUAUCCCACCUGGGGAGUACGGGCGCAAAGCCUGAAACUCAAAGGAAUUGACGGGGGCCCGCACAAGCGGUGGAGCAUGUGGUUUAAUUCGAUGAUACGCGAGGAACCUUACCAGGGCUUAAAUGUAGAUUGACGUAUUUGGAAACAGAUAUUUCUUCGGACAAUUUACAAGGUGCUGCAUGGUUGUCGUCAGCUCGUGCCGUGAGGUGUCAGGUUAAGUCCUAUAACGAGCGCAACCCCUGUUGUUAGUUGCCAGCGAGUAAUGUCGGGAACUCUAGCAAGACUGCCAGUGUAAACUGUGAGGAAGGUGGGGAUGACGUCAAAUCACCACGGCCCUUACGUCCUGGGCCACACACGUGCUACAAUGGCCGGUACAGAGAGCAGCCACUUAGCGAUAAGGAGCGAAUCUAUAAAGCCGGUCACAGUUCGGAUCGGAGUCUGCAACUC
RNAcentral lists this ribosomal RNA (532 nucleotides) under uncultured bacterium. RNAcentral's name for it is "bacterial SSU rRNA". It matches the Rfam family "Bacterial small subunit ribosomal RNA", at positions 776 to 1313 of the family's 1533-position model. The record is from RNAcentral.